Molecule: ribosomal RNA, 549 nt
Filed under: Triticum aestivum (bread wheat)
Lineage: Eukaryota; Viridiplantae; Streptophyta; Magnoliopsida; Poales; Poaceae
Description: partial small subunit ribosomal RNA
Source: RNAcentral
AUGGCGUCGCCGCUGCGUAACGGGGAUCAGGCGGCGGCGGGGGGACGGAGGAAGGAGUCGAGGCGGCUGGGGACGCUCCUCCUGGUGCUGCGGGUGGCGGCGCUGUGCUUUAGCCUCGCGGCGGCGGUGUUCGCGGCGACGGACGGCGCCGUGCUGCGGCUGGCGCCGUUCAGGUUCCUGCUGGCGGCGAACGCGAUCGUGGCGGUAUACUCGGUGUUCGAGGUCGCCGCGGCGGCGUGGGAGGUGGCCAAGGGCGCCACGCUGCUCCCGGAGGCCUUGCAGCUCUGGUUCGACUUCGGCCACGACCAGGGUUUCGGGUACAUGGCGCUGGCAGCGGCGGCGGCGGCGGCGCGGGAAGCGGCGUUGUGCGGCGGAGGCCAGGAGCGGAAUAUCAGCAGCACGGCGUGCCUGCAGGGCGACAUCGCCGUGGGGCUCGGGUUCGCGGCGUUCGCUUUCCUGGCGCUGGCGGCGCUCGCGACGGGGUUCCGGCUCGUCCGCUUCCUCGCCACCGGUUCCCGGCUCCCGGCGGGGGCCUCCUCCCCGUAUUGA